CCUACGUGUUGCAGCAGUGAGGAAUAUUGGUCAAUGGGCGAGAGCCUGAACCAGCCAAGUAGCGUGAAGGAUGAAGGCCCUAUGGGUCGUAAACUUCUUUUAUAUGGGAAUAAAGUGGAGUAUGUAUACUCUUUUGUAUGUACCAUAUGAAUAAGGAUCGGCUAACUACGUGCCAGCAGCCGCGGUCAUACGUAGGACCCAAGCGUUAUCCGGAAUUACUGGGCGUAAAGAGUUGCGUAGGUGGCAUUAUAAGUGGAGCGUGAAAGCGUGCGGCUCAACCGCAUUACUGCGUUCCAAACUGUAAAGCUUGAGUAUGAGAGGGGUAGAUGGAAUUUCUAGUGUAGGAGUGAAAUCCGUAGAUAUUAGAAGGAACACCGAUAGCGUAGGCAGUCUACUGGCUCAUUACUGACACUAAGGCACGAAAGCGUGGGGAGCAAACA
This 440-nucleotide ribosomal RNA is filed under the name uncultured bacterium. Its description in RNAcentral is "bacterial SSU rRNA". It matches the Rfam family "Bacterial small subunit ribosomal RNA", at positions 338 to 774 of the family's 1533-position model. The record is from RNAcentral.